RNAcentral lists this ribosomal RNA (2787 nucleotides) under human gut metagenome. RNAcentral describes it as "bacterial LSU rRNA". It matches the Rfam family "Bacterial large subunit ribosomal RNA". The record is from RNAcentral.
AGCGUACACGGUGGAUGCCCUGGCAGUCAGAGGCGAUGAAGGACGUGCUAAUCUGCGAUAAGCGUCGGUAAGGUGAUAUGAACCGUUAUAACCGGCGAUUUCCGAAUGGGGAAACCCAGUGUGAUUCGUCACACUAUCAUUAACUGAAUCCAUAGGUUAAUGAGGCGAACCGGGGGAACUGAAACAUCUAAGUACCCCGAGGAAAAGAAAUCAACCGAGAUUCCCCCAGUAGCGGCGAGCGAACGGGGAGCAGCCCAGAGCCUGAAUCAGUGUGUGUGUUAGUGGAAGCGUCUGGAAAGGCGUGCGAUACAGGGUGACAGCCCCGUACACAAAAAUGCACAUGCUGUGAGCUCGAUGAGUAGGGCGGGACACGUGGUAUCCUGUCUGAAUAUGGGGGGACCAUCCUCCAAGGCUAAAUACUCCUGACUGACCGAUAGUGAACCAGUACCGUGAGGGAAAGGCGAAAAGAACCCCGGCGAGGGGAGUGAAAAAGAACCUGAAACCGUGUACGUACAAGCAGUGGGAGCACGCUUAGGCGUGUGACUGCGUACCUUUUGUAUAAUGGGUCAGCGACUUAUAUUCUGUAGCAAGGUUAACCGAAUAGGGGAGCCGAAGGGAAACCGAGUCUUAACUGGGCGUUAAGUUGCAGGGUAUAGACCCGAAACCCGGUGAUCUAGCCAUGGGCAGGUUGAAGGUUGGGUAACACUAACUGGAGGACCGAACCGACUAAUGUUGAAAAAUUAGCGGAUGACUUGUGGCUGGGGGUGAAAGGCCAAUCAAACCGGGAGAUAGCUGGUUCUCCCCGAAAGCUAUUUAGGUAGCGCCUCGUGAAUUCAUCUCCGGGGGUAGAGCACUGUUUCGGCAAGGGGGUCAUCCCGACUUACCAACCCGAUGCAAACUGCGAAUACCGGAGAAUGUUAUCACGGGAGACACACGGCGGGUGCUAACGUCCGUCGUGAAGAGGGAAACAACCCAGACCGCCAGCUAAGGUCCCAAAGUCAUGGUUAAGUGGGAAACGAUGUGGGAAGGCCCAGACAGCCAGGAUGUUGGCUUAGAAGCAGCCAUCAUUUAAAGAAAGCGUAAUAGCUCACUGGUCGAGUCGGCCUGCGCGGAAGAUGUAACGGGGCUAAACCAUGCACCGAAGCUGCGGCAGCGACGCUGAUGCGUUGUUGGGUAGGGGAGCGUUCUGUAAGCCUGUGAAGGUGUACUGUGAGGUAUGCUGGAGGUAUCAGAAGUGCGAAUGCUGACAUAAGUAACGAUAAAGCGGGUGAAAAGCCCGCUCGCCGGAAGACCAAGGGUUCCUGUCCAACGUUAAUCGGGGCAGGGUGAGUCGACCCCUAAGGCGAGGCCGAAAGGCGUAGUCGAUGGGAAACAGGUUAAUAUUCCUGUACUUGGUGUUACUGCGAAGGGGGGACGGAGAAGGCUAUGUUGGCCGGGCGACGGUUGUCCCGGUUUAAGCGUGUAGGCUGGUUUUCCAGGCAAAUCCGGAAAAUCAAGGCUGAGGCGUGAUGACGAGGCACUACGGUGCUGAAGCAACAAAUGCCCUGCUUCCAGGAAAAGCCUCUAAGCAUCAGGUAACAUCAAAUCGUACCCCAAACCGACACAGGUGGUCAGGUAGAGAAUACCAAGGCGCUUGAGAGAACUCGGGUGAAGGAACUAGGCAAAAUGGUGCCGUAACUUCGGGAGAAGGCACGCUGAUAUGUAGGUGAAGUCCCUCGCGGAUGGAGCUGAAAUCAGUCGAAGAUACCAGCUGGCUGCAACUGUUUAUUAAAAACACAGCACUGUGCAAACACGAAAGUGGACGUAUACGGUGUGACGCCUGCCCGGUGCCGGAAGGUUAAUUGAUGGGGUUAGCGCAAGCGAAGCUCUUGAUCGAAGCCCCGGUAAACGGCGGCCGUAACUAUAACGGUCCUAAGGUAGCGAAAUUCCUUGUCGGGUAAGUUCCGACCUGCACGAAUGGCGUAAUGAUGGCCAGGCUGUCUCCACCCGAGACUCAGUGAAAUUGAACUCGCUGUGAAGAUGCAGUGUACCCGCGGCAAGACGGAAAGACCCCGUGAACCUUUACUAUAGCUUGACACUGAACAUUGAGCCUUGAUGUGUAGGAUAGGUGGGAGGCUUUGAAGUGUGGACGCCAGUCUGCAUGGAGCCGACCUUGAAAUACCACCCUUUAAUGUUUGAUGUUCUAACGUUGACCCGUAAUCCGGGUUGCGGACAGUGUCUGGUGGGUAGUUUGACUGGGGCGGUCUCCUCCUAAAGAGUAACGGAGGAGCACGAAGGUUGGCUAAUCCUGGUCGGACAUCAGGAGGUUAGUGCAAUGGCAUAAGCCAGCUUGACUGCGAGCGUGACGGCGCGAGCAGGUGCGAAAGCAGGUCAUAGUGAUCCGGUGGUUCUGAAUGGAAGGGCCAUCGCUCAACGGAUAAAAGGUACUCCGGGGAUAACAGGCUGAUACCGCCCAAGAGUUCAUAUCGACGGCGGUGUUUGGCACCUCGAUGUCGGCUCAUCACAUCCUGGGGCUGAAGUAGGUCCCAAGGGUAUGGCUGUUCGCCAUUUAAAGUGGUACGCGAGCUGGGUUUAGAACGUCGUGAGACAGUUCGGUCCCUAUCUGCCGUGGGCGCUGGAGAACUGAGGGGGGCUGCUCCUAGUACGAGAGGACCGGAGUGGACGCAUCACUGGUGUUCGGGUUGUCAUGCCAAUGGCACUGCCCGGUAGCUAAAUGCGGAAGAGAUAAGUGCUGAAAGCAUCUAAGCACGAAACUUGCCCCGAGAUGAGUUCUCCCUGACUCCUUGA